CGCCCUACAGGAAACUGGCGCUUGGCAGUGAUCUGAUGUCAUACAGAAUGAGUAUACGAAUGGCGAUUAAAAUCGAUUCAAGCAAUCAAAAGUUAAGAUAAUUUGAAAAUAUUACACAGGAUUUUGGAAGAUAAAUGGGCAUUUUAUAUAUUUAUACACUAUAAUCUGAUUAGAAAUGUGUCAUCACGCCACACGAGUUUGGCAUGUAUAGUAAAACAGAGGAAGCAUAUCACACUAGUGGUUUGCAUGUGAUUAUCUUGCGCUAGGAUUCGCUAUGCAUGUUCCGUGUGAAAAUAAAUCCCAAAGUACACAUGUUUAACGCGCAAUUACGAGGAACUUUGAUAAUCACCGCGCCAACAAUUCGCAUUCGGGAAAAUAAGUCGGAAAAAGAUAUAUCAUGUGUCUCCAAAAACUGGACACGAUUUCAUGUAACGUAAAAGCUAU
This is a non-coding RNA of Paramuricea clavata, 444 nucleotides long. The record is from the annotation of a GenBank genome assembly. Lineage: Eukaryota; Metazoa; Cnidaria; Anthozoa; Malacalcyonacea; Plexauridae.